AUAUAAUAUUAAAUAAAUAUCUAAAUUUUAAGUAUAUCAUUUACAAUGAUAAGAUGUUUUUAACUUUAUUUAAAUU
RNAcentral lists this transfer RNA (76 nucleotides) under Pseudoregma sundanica. RNAcentral describes it as "tRNA-Val". Lineage: Eukaryota; Metazoa; Arthropoda; Insecta; Hemiptera; Hormaphididae. The record is from RNAcentral.